Long non-coding RNA from Trachemys scripta elegans, 638 nucleotides. RefSeq lists it as uncharacterized. The transcript is spliced from 3 exons. Lineage: Eukaryota; Metazoa; Chordata; Testudines; Emydidae. The record is from RefSeq and is a predicted model, not a curated record.
UCCAACGCCGUCCUCUGAUUGGCUGACUGAGGUGACAUCACUGGGAGCCAGGCUCAUCCUAACUUGUCAUGGGGAAGUUUGUCUGAGGCACAAAUUUUUUGGGGGAUUCUCUGGGAGGGAGGUUGGUUGAUAGAAGGGGACUUUUUUUUUUUAGGUUGAUCCCAGUGACACAUGUCCAGAAAUGACUGGGAAGAUGGAGAUUUGCGGGGAGGGAACCAAGAAGUGGCCAGUGCUGCCUUUUAAGGGCCUUGUGGCGAGUGGCAAAGGGAGUUUGGAGGCAGGACUCGAACCCACCACUUGCAGUGGGUAUUGCCUUUGGCAUGGCUAGUGACGUGGCAGCGUCUCAAACCCAUCGCCUGCACCAGUUAUUGGCUUUGGCAUGAUUAAUGAUACGGCUGAGUCUCAAGCCCACCAUCUGCAGCAGAGUUUCUGUCCUGCUCUGAGUGUUAUAGUUUUGACCUCAAGGACUGGGUGAAUGUGCUGUACCUGACUUCACCAUCUUGCACCAGUGCAUUGGGGCUCCCAGCUCCACUCUCCUGGCUCCCCAGCUCAAGGCUGAGUCCAGUUCUUCUCCAAGAUGUAUAUGUGUGCAAUAUAAUCAAGGCCUGACUACAAUUCUGUGCUCAUGAAAGACACCU